GGGAUAUAGCUAAGCUGGUAUAGCGCGGCGUUCGCAAUGCUGAGGCCAGGGGUUCGAGUCCCCUUAUCUCC
RNAcentral lists this transfer RNA (71 nucleotides) under human gut metagenome. It matches the Rfam family "tRNA". From Rfam's summary of the family: Transfer RNA (tRNA) molecules are approximately 80 nucleotides in length. Their secondary structure includes four short double-helical elements and three loops (D, anti-codon, and T loops). The record is from RNAcentral.